This 252-nucleotide long non-coding RNA is filed under the name Homo sapiens (human). RNAcentral describes it as "lncAB188.1". The record is from RNAcentral. Lineage: Eukaryota; Metazoa; Chordata; Mammalia; Primates; Hominidae.
CCAUAUACCAUGUCUUAUCAGUGGUCCCUGUCUCCCUUCUUGUACAAUCCAGAGGAAUAUUUUUAUCAACUAUUUUGUAAAUGCAAGUUUUUUAGUAGCUCUAGAAACAUUUUUAAGAAGGAGGGAAUCCCACCUCAUCCCAUUUUUUAAGUGUAAAUGCUUUUUUUUUUUUUUUAAGAGGUGAAAUCAUUUGCUGGUUGUUUAUUUUUUGGUACAACCAGAAAAUAGUGUGGGAUAUUGAAUUAUGGGAGG